GCCAGUCCAGCUGGACAAUGGCAAUGGAAAUCUGGUUUAGUUUUGAGCCUGGUUUUGAUUUGGGGCGCUGGAAGCCAUGAGAAUGCCAAGAAAACUUUGAUGCUGCUGACUGCCUUGGAUGACAGCAAAUCUCCUACAUCCUGACCAUGGAAAUGCCUCCCUCCCAGCAGCUGCAGGCUUAAACAAAGAGAGUCCAGCAUUUCCAUUUGAUCCCUACUUAAAGCUGCAGAUCUGUCAGCACAGGCACUCAUUGUGUGUACAAAUAUGACAGCUGAGCAAAGCCACAGGCUACCAACUAAUCAUCCAAGAUCUCCAAACAUUCCCAGGUCAGACGAGCUGACUGCUGCGUGAGGAGCAUCUGGGUCCUGUGAAGGAGCAGUGAGUGACCCAUACCUUCCCUAUUUCACCCUGCUGCUCCUGCCUCUGAGAUCGCCCAUUUCCACAGGCUCCACUGGCAAAAGCAAUGUAUUCAGAGCCAAGACACCAGGCUUGUCCCUGACCUGUCCCAGGAGCUCACCUGAAUCAUGCCAGUGUUUUCGUCUCUGUCUCUUCAUCUGGAGAUGGAAAUAAUGUGUCCACAUAGGAAUGUCAUGAA
Molecule: long non-coding RNA, 595 nt
Organism: Catharus ustulatus (Swainson's thrush)
Lineage: Eukaryota; Metazoa; Chordata; Aves; Passeriformes; Turdidae
Exons: 4
Source: RefSeq, a predicted model, not a curated record